RNAcentral lists this transfer RNA (72 nucleotides) under Bacteroidota bacterium. RNAcentral's name for it is "Bacteroidetes bacterium (activated sludge metagenome) tRNA-Gly". It matches the Rfam family "tRNA". From Rfam's summary of the family: Transfer RNA (tRNA) molecules are approximately 80 nucleotides in length. Their secondary structure includes four short double-helical elements and three loops (D, anti-codon, and T loops). Further hydrogen bonds mediate the characteristic L-shaped molecular structure. tRNAs have two regions of fundamental functional importance: the anti-codon, which is responsible for specific mRNA codon recognition, and the 3' end, to which the tRNAs corresponding amino acid is attached (by aminoacyl-tRNA synthetases). tRNAs cope with the degeneracy of the genetic code in two manners: having more than one tRNA (with a specific anti-codon) for a particular amino acid; and 'wobble' base-pairing, i.e. permitting non-standard base-pairing at the 3rd anti-codon position. Lineage: Bacteria; Pseudomonadati; Bacteroidota. The record is from RNAcentral.
GCGCGAAUGGUGUAGAGGUCAACAUGUCUGUCUUCCAAACAGAGGUCUCCGGUUCGAAUCCGGGUUUGCGCU